RNAcentral lists this transfer RNA (104 nucleotides) under Daldinia eschscholtzii. RNAcentral's name for it is "tRNA-Ala". It matches the Rfam family "tRNA". From Rfam's summary of the family: Transfer RNA (tRNA) molecules are approximately 80 nucleotides in length. Their secondary structure includes four short double-helical elements and three loops (D, anti-codon, and T loops). Lineage: Eukaryota; Fungi; Ascomycota; Sordariomycetes; Xylariales; Hypoxylaceae. RNAcentral also lists the same sequence under 1 other name. The record is from RNAcentral.
GGGCUUGUGGUUUAGUGGUAUAAUACUCCCUUAGCACGUGAUUAUCCCACGAUAGUCUCUUGUAAAACUGGGAGUGGUCCGGGGUUCGAUUCCCCGCGAGUCCA